CCGUAAGCCUGGCGCUCCAGUUUUCAUUCAGCCCGUCUUGUGUGGUGGGUAGGGAACCUAUGUUUGUGGCCAGUAACAGCUUCAGGCUGGCACAUAAGACAUCAGGUUCCCGGACCUUGAGGAGUGGGUCUUGAGAUUGUUGCUUUUGCUGCCCCGUAUCCAAACCCCCUUCCUAUUGGGGGACAACCCCAAAUUAGGUGCAGCAGAGGGGUCAACCACAUGCUGCGAAGACUUCUGGGCAGCCAGGACACGAGCAUGUGCCAGGACUUACCUGAGCAGAGCCACAGACACAAAGACACAGGGAGAGGUAGGCUUUCUCAGGUGGCCUCCGCAGUCGAGGUAGGCCUGAACCAACACGUCGUCUGGCAGCCCAUGGCCGCAUUCUGGCCACAGGGGGCUGGGACCGCGGUCUGGUUGUGCUCUUGCUAGGUAGCCUCCUUGUGUUCCUGCUGCCUCUCAGAGCCUGCUUCUCAUUAAGGCUCUCCUCGGGUCUCCACCACUCCCUGCUGUUUGCCAUUAACAAGUCUGACUCCCUGAUCUCCAUCAAGGGCAGGUGUGUACUGAGCUCUGGAAAGCCAGAGAUAGGAGCCUAAGUAAGUACAGAGCUGGCUGGGAGGGCGCCGUUGGGUAAGGCAGCACGGGAGGACACCUGGAGUGGCCUUGUCAGGUCUCCCGAUGGCUUAGAAGGGUCUCCAUGGGGAGCCAUGCUACCUGAUAGACAGUCCACACUCCAUAAGUCUGCCUCUUUUCUCUGAUCCCUUCUCCCCUCUGUCUACAAACCCUUCCUGAUGCCCGGGUCAUGCAAUUAAAUACUAUUUUUAAAACCAAGUUUUAUCUACGCUCCCUGUGGGUUAUCUCAGCUCCUACAGAGGCUCAGGAAACUGUGACGGCACGAUCGUCACACUGACUUGACAGGAGGCAGCCUGGGAAGUCAUGAUGGAAGAGGCUGCUCUCUUCCUGGCCUGGCCCCUCUUGGGGGUUCAGUGCUCGUCUCUGAAGUCACUGAGGUUUUUGUUGCAGUUUCCCUACGGUAUAGAGCGUGCCCUACAUCGCAGGGCUGGGCUAAGACGGAUUUCUGGCUUUCUUUUCUCAAAAAAUCAUGCUCAUUCAGGCACUGGCGAAUAUAGGUUCUGGUACUGAAGAUGAGCUGUCUGUUAAACUCUGAAUAGGGCUAUUCUCUCUGCAAUUAGAGACUUUUGGCUCAAACAAGAUCUUUUCUGGGAAGCCAUAAGCCUGUAUUCUGAUAUUUCAACAUUUCACCCCUCAUCCUCCCCACCAGCCCUCACUAGGGUUCAUAUCGUCCUAGAAAUGGAACACCACCACAAAGCAGUCACCCACAUGGAUUCUCCCACUUUGCAGGCUUAAGAUAAUGAAGUCAAACACACAUACACAGGCUCCAAAUACCUUUGGUAGAGCUUUACACCCAUAUGUGUGAAGGGCCAUUUCCAAACGGAAUAAUAACUGGAAGGCACGACUAAACCACUGGAAUAAAAUCCCCCUUUGGAUUAGGUAUCAGCAAAGUAAAUUAGUAACAUCUGAGCGCCUGUUAAGACUAGAGAUUCGCCGUUUGCUGGGACUGGCGUUUAUUUCAUUAUUGAAAAGGAAGGGAAAAAACAGAAGGAAUCAAGUCAGCUGUACUGAGUGUCGAUGACACACGUGCCUCCCAUUUUUGAAGCUCUUCUCCCUGGCGCCUCAGUGUACUGUCUGAGCUGCCCCUGGGCUACAACCGUGAUUAAGAGGAGAGGUCUCUCUUUUGAAGGGGUUGGUGGUCUCUUGAGCUGAGGAAGUGGAACACGGGUUGACGAGCCUGGCUGAUGGAAAACUGGAGGGCAUGCUGUGGGCUUCUCCCCUGCCACCUUCCCCGCUCUUGACGUCUUCUGGAAAUUGCCACCUUUAGGAGUCUGAGGAGCCAGGCAUCCUUGAGGGCAGGCUUCCUGUGUGGCUGAGGUCUGACCACACCACAAACCCACUGCUGCUCAUCAGUGUGGGCCAAGGAUGGAAGAGAAGCCAUGGUGCAGAGAGGGGUGUGGGUCAGGGGCUGAGGAUGCCUCCGGCCUUUCCUAAAAAGGAGGGAGCUGGACUUGCUUUUCCCUGAGACAUCUUCUGGUCGCGCCUCAGUCUACCCUGCGUUUGUCAUUUAGAUGGGGAGCUCCCCCACCAUCUCAUUCGGCAUGGGGUUUACAGGUCUACAGGCCACGGUUUUAUGAGCUGCCUUGUGAAUAUUAAAAGUCGCAUUUCUUUUUCUGUUUCUUUGGAUUGCUUGAAUUUUUUAAGGUUGAGCAGUUUUUUAAAUACCAAAGUGUAAAGUCCUAAGUCGUCUUAGAGGCUGUCAUUCUCCUGUGAUUUCAGCUCCCUAGCCUCCUUCGUGACUUUGAUCACCAAGUCCCCCGUUACGUUGGAAGAUUAAAGGCAUGUGGACGCCUGGGGGAGGGCAGCCUGGAGGUGACAUUCAAAAGCUCGAUUAGUCUUCUGCGGAUCAGUGUGACCUCUGCACCUGUCAACGGCCUACAUAUUCGAUUUUGAGACUCUCCCUGUGAUGAGCUCUCUGGAAACAGGGCCCUGCUUUUUUCUCCUCUGCAUACACAUGAAUGGCCGGGUGUAGGGCCUGGUGCAACGUUUCCCCUUUGGCCACCUGCUCACUGAGGAGGUGUGUGUGAUGAGGACUCUUCAGAUCUACUCCCAGCAAAUCUCAAGUGUACAAGACAUGUUAUACACUAUGGUCCCUAUGCAGCUUUGUUUGUGAAGGUGAUCCAGUUUCGUGCUAAACGGAGUGAUGUACUGGGCCAGAAGAGGAAAGACAAUCUGGACCAGAUGGCCAAAGAUUUGAUGACCUUAUAUGACUCCCGUCCUCACGGAGUUUACAUUUUGACAGGAUCAGAGACAUUAAGUAGCUUAAUAAAUGCUCAAUAAAGAUUUGUGAAAUAAACUACAA
RNAcentral lists this long non-coding RNA (2932 nucleotides) under Equus caballus (horse). Its description in RNAcentral is "lncRNA (ENSECAG00000045546.1)". Lineage: Eukaryota; Metazoa; Chordata; Mammalia; Perissodactyla; Equidae. The record is from RNAcentral.